This 376-nucleotide long non-coding RNA is filed under the name Capsicum annuum. RNAcentral describes it as "long non-coding RNA (CANN_LNC002682)". The record is from RNAcentral. Lineage: Eukaryota; Viridiplantae; Streptophyta; Magnoliopsida; Solanales; Solanaceae.
UCUCUUGAUAUGAAUUUCUCCGUAAUUCGAGGGCCGUGGGUAGCAUAUUUUUCGAAUGUAGGCAUAUUUGAAUUUGAUAUGAAUUUCUCCAUAAUUCGAGGGUCGUUAGUGGCGUAUUUCUUGAACAUAGGUAUAUUUGAAUUUGAUAUGGAUUUCUCUGUAAUUCGAGGACCGUUAGAGGCGUAUUGACCGUUAGAGGCAUAUUUCUUUAACAUAGGAAUAUUUGGAUUUGAAUGGAGGGAUCUUCUUGAUGUAUUUGAUUAUCAACAAGAGAAUAUUUGCACCUUUAAAUAGGUGUAAUCUAGGAGGGAUAUGUAUUUGAUUAUCAAGAAGAUAGAGUUUUGAUCUCUAUAUGAAUAUCUCACGAAUUUCUGAG